AUUAAUCUUAACCACUUUAACCUCCCUUGUAGCCCACCACCCAGCAGAGGUAGCCGAAAAGAAAGGAUAGGGGGGCGAGGGGGAUAGGGGGCUAUUUAGAAAUGGUUCUUUGGAGCAACUCCCAUCUGUGUAGUCUGGAAAUCAACAGUUCAGUUCAUAGGUUAGAUAUGGUAGCUCGAUCCACUCUCGGACACAUCACGGAUUCACCAGCAGUCCAGUUUGGUAGAGUUAGAAUAGCAAAUUCAAAUCAGCAGCCAUGGCAUGACCUCACAGAGACAGCCAGGCCUCAGCCUCAGUACAAGUCAGCAGGAGGGACCAGCAGGAGCACCAGGAGUUCUCGGCCAUGCCUCUGUCAGCAAACGAGGUCAGGGACCAUCACUGUAUAGCUGGCUCUAUAAGUAAGCCAAGCUCAGCCUCCAUCACUGUCCAUCCAGUUCUUUUUAGAGUCCUAUUUAUAUCCUCCAGACGUCACUCAUCCUCCACGGCUCUUGCCCGACAUGUGCAUCUGUCUCAGCUGACAUCACUCUGCCAAUCAGUCAGGAAGCUGAGGCACACCACCAGGAGUUUCUUAAUGCGUUUCUCUCGGUGGAGUCCUGACGAAUGCAGCUCAACUACACAAUGUAAGGCGAACCAAUACAUGCGUGCCAUUAGUGAGGAAUCCUUCAUCACGUGUCCUUUCACAUGUUUGCUUCAGCAGGACAUCCUCUCUCCUGUGUCUGCUUCAGUGAAAUGUUCCUCCUUGAGUC
Molecule: long non-coding RNA, 746 nt
Filed under: Rattus norvegicus (Norway rat)
Lineage: Eukaryota; Metazoa; Chordata; Mammalia; Rodentia; Muridae
Description: long non-coding RNA NONRATT027280
Source: RNAcentral